RNAcentral lists this ribosomal RNA (449 nucleotides) under uncultured bacterium. Its description in RNAcentral is "partial 16S ribosomal RNA". It matches the Rfam family "Bacterial small subunit ribosomal RNA", at positions 29 to 523 of the family's 1533-position model. The record is from RNAcentral.
AACGAACGCUGGCGGCAUGCCUAACACAUGCAAGUCGAACGAACCCUUCGGGGUUAGUGGCGCACGGGUGCGUAACGCGUGGGAAUCUGCCCUUUGCUUCGGAAUAACAGUCAGAAAUGACUGCUAAUACCGGAUGAUGUCUUCGGACCAAAGAUUUAUCGGCAAGGGAUGAGCCCGCGUAGGAUUAGGUAGUUGGUGGGGUAAAGGCCUACCAAGCCGACGAUCCUUAGCUGGUCUGAGAGGAUGAUCAGCCACACUGGGACUGAGACACGGCCCAGACUCCUACGGGAGGCAGCAGUGGGGAAUAUUGGACAAUGGGCGCAAGCCUGAUCCAGCAAUGCCGCGUGAGUGAUGAGGGCCUUCGGGUCGUAAAGCUCUUUUACCAGGGAUGAUAAUGACAGUACCUGGAGAAUAAGCUCCGGCUAACUCCGUGCCAGCCGCCGCCGUAA